RNAcentral lists this ribosomal RNA (590 nucleotides) under Nigrospora sphaerica. RNAcentral describes it as "eukaryotic LSU rRNA". It matches the Rfam family "Eukaryotic large subunit ribosomal RNA", at positions 37 to 651 of the family's 3401-position model. The record is from RNAcentral. Lineage: Eukaryota; Fungi; Ascomycota; Sordariomycetes; Amphisphaeriales; Apiosporaceae.
AGCAUAUCAAUAAGCGGAGGAAAAGAAACCAACAGGGAUUCCCCUAGUAACGGCGAGUGAAGCGGGAACAGCUCAAAUUUGAAAUCUGGCCCUCGGGUCCGAGUUGUAAUUUGUAGAGGAUGCUUUUGGUGCGGUGCCUUCCGAGUUCCCUGGAACGGGACGCCUUAGAGGGUGAGAGCCCCGUACGGUUGGACGCCUAGCCUCUGUAAAGCUCCUUCGACGAGUCGAGUAGUUUGGGAAUGCUGCUCUAAAUGGGAGGUAUAUUUCUUCUAAAGCUAAAUACUGGCCAGAGACCGAUAGCGCACAAGUAGAGUGAUCGAAAGAUGAAAAGCACUUUGAAAAGAGGGUUAAAUAGCACGUGAAAUUGUUGAAAGGGAAGCGUUUAUCACCAGACUUUUUCUAGGGGGAUCAUCCGGUGUUCUCACCGGUGCACUUCCCCUAGUUGAGGCCAGCAUCGGUUUUCGGAGGGGGAUAAAAGUUUCGGGAAUGUGACUCCCCCGGGAGUGUUAUAGCCCGUUACAUAAUACCCUUCUGGGGACCGAGGUUCGCGCAUCUGCAAGGAUGCUGGCAUAAUGGUGAUCAACGACCCG